Molecule: long non-coding RNA, 6047 nt
Organism: Silurus meridionalis
Lineage: Eukaryota; Metazoa; Chordata; Actinopteri; Siluriformes; Siluridae
Exons: 2
Source: RefSeq, a predicted model, not a curated record
AACGCUUGUAGACAUGGUUCCUCUUUCUCUCGCUCUAGCUCAGCGAAGGAACCGAGUGCUUCGGCAGCGUGUCCUGAUUGGUCCACACCUGGUCACAUGACUUCCAAGUGACGUCAAUGGGGAGGCAAUGACGUCGUGCCACCAAACAAAGAUACUUGCUUGAUUAGUACCCAUGAGAAAGACCACAAGCUCUCUUGUUUUGUUGACAGCCUGUACCGUGUGCGGUUGCUGAGACAUGGUGCUCAUAUCCCUGCUGGAUAUACUCUGAUGAUAGACUGCGCAAUCCCACAGAGCCCAGGCUGAGGCAAAAAAGCAGUCCUUACCACGCGGUGUUUGCCUGGCUGUCAUCCUUCCUGCCCAGGAAUGAAUAAGACUUACCAUAUUAUGCAAAAACGAUACCAGCCAGAGCGCCCUAGCACUUUGUCCCGUGGCUGAUUGUGGCACAGGAAGCAGACCACAGGAAGUGUUUUGUUAUGGAUGAAAAGAGGCUAUGGAUUAGAGACUUAAAAAGAAAACUCUUGAUCUACAUGGGUUCCCAGGGUGUGCUCUCUUAUUUCUUUCACCCACUCAAACCUUCCUAAUUCAGCCUUCCCCCUGAAUUGCUGCAUUUACUCAGAAAAGACUUCUGGUUGUUGUUGUUUUUUUUUUUUGUUUUUUUUUGCAACACGUAGUCACAAGCCACAAACAGAAUCACAUGUUGGACGACACACUGAAACAAACAUCUGUUAUGACUCGAUCAGAUCUUUACAGAAAGCUCAGACUAUAUGCCGUGCUUUAUCAACACAAAACAGUCAUCAUAUGAACACGUUCUCAGGGUGCUGUGAAAACAAUGGCACAAGUGAGAAACCGGUAGACAAUUGUAGCGCCUUUAUUCAGUGUUUGCUCUUUACAGGUUUACUGAAACAUCACGACACAAUGGAUUUAUGGGAAUUUACCGUUAAAUUGGAAGAAGACGCUACGUCCUGUAAACAGUUCUGUAUAUCAUUUUCUAUACAUUUAUCGUCAUCACUUUUAUUUAAAGAAGAAGAACAAGAAGGCAAAUCUGAACACGUUUAAAUGAUAAUAAUGAUAAAAAAAAAACCCUAUAGGAGAUAGGACACUUUAGUCCUGUUUGCAUAUGCUUUAAACCAUGUUCAAAUCACCCCAAAACCCCUCACCUUGGAAAAUUCACUCAAAGGUCAGCUGGAUUAAAUUUCACAUCAGAAUAUAGAAACCAGUUGUCCGGUCUGCUCUGUGUUUCAACCAGACGGCUUUGGGCCGUAGAGGAUAAUUCCCAAGCUCCUAAUGUAGGGCACUAGAGGCCAGGUCCAACCCCUUGCCAAUCUGAGCUUCAUCGUUGUCCCAAGUCACAAGACCACCUGUUAAAUUAACUCUCACCAGGAGAGCAAUUUGAGUUAAAUGAUUAAUGCUUCCAUCUUUCUCUAAUCCUGUUGCGUUAAUCCUAACCAUCUCUAUAUUAUAUAGUGAAAACACACACACACACACACACACACACACACACACACACACACACACACACAGCGUGUCAACCCUUUUCGCAACAAAUGGCAUCUGUAUAAAAGAAUAAUUUCUGAUGAAAUAGUUUUAUUUGUGGUCACUUUAUUAGCUUUAGUGUCAAAAAAAUGUAAUUAUACAAUAGUAGCUAGUUAUUUACCACAACAUCCACCAGGAUGUGAUUGGCUGAAAUAAAGGGGAAGAUGAACUUGUAACUGUAAAUAUGGCUCUUCAUACACCAUGCUCCAAGUACCUGCAUCGGUGUGGAUUUUGUGUCAGGGAUCUGUGUACAAACACGUGCCCUGAUGAAGACGCACACUUUUGUUUUAUUGUGCGUGAACAAAAAUGUGCUUCAAAAAAAUAAUUGGGACUCCCAUAACAUAUUGCCAUUCAAGAAAAAUCAGUAUUAAAACUAUGAAUUAUGGAUUAUUACACUGGGUAAUAUCGACUCGUGCAACUCGUUGUCAAGGUGCCUGUGUAGGUGCAGAAUAAGAAUCCACCCCUGAUUUUAGACUAAGGGUGAAACUAUCCAACUUUUGCACAGAUUUCAAAAGGCCACAACUAAAAGUAAUAGCAAAAAUAGUCCUUCUCUAUGAUAUCAUCAUCAUCAUCAUUUACAAACGAUCAGCAGGCUUAUUCCAUAUUUUAUCAGAGACUACGAAAAGGAGUUGUAUUGUACUGUAUCGCAGCAGAUUCAGCGACCAAAUAUUGAAUAUUUGCUCUAUGACAUGAUUGAAGGGAAGCUUAAGGUUUACACACUGUUCCUUACUUUGGAACAUAAUCUAUAUACAGCGAUGUGUGAGGAAGAAGUAUUUCAGCAGACUAAACAGAGUACUAAAAGAGUCAAAAUAUUAGUUUAUUGACUCUUGUUUUCUAAACAUGAACCUACUUGGCUUCUAAAUGGUUUACUCAAGAACACUCAUAUUUGGUCCUUCCUCAAAUUUGUUCCCACACAGUUGGAAGAACAUUAAUGUAUCUCAUGCCUUUGUAAGAUGCAGAAGUUCCCUUUAGUAGAACUAGGAGGACUAAACCUGAUGACAAUGCUCCUGUGCACUAAACGAGCUCUAUGAAGAUUUGGUGUGUUAAAGUUGGAGUGGAAGAACUCAAGUGACAAUGACCUCAACCCCACUGAGCACUUUAAAUAAAUCUGAACACCGACUGCACCCCAGGGCUUCUUGAUGUCAAUAACACUCUUGUGGCUGAAUAAACAACAAAUCCCUACAGCCGUGCUCCAAAAUCUAGUGGAAAGCCUUCCCAGAAGAGUGGAGGUUAUUAUUAGGGAUGCAAAAUUCCAGGGAUUUUCAAGACUAAAACUUUCAAUGGGAAUUAACAGGAACAAAUAGUAAACUGACCAAAUUGCACUUUAGCCUGUAACAGAGAACACAUUCAAUGCAAUUUCCGUUGAAUUUCUACCCUGGACAUGCACUGUGCAUUCCUCCAUAACAUAAACACAGAUAAUUUCUUGAAUCCUGCUCACAAUAUAAUGUCAAAAUAUUUGGCGAGAAUUCAUGUGAAUUACAUGUUUAAAACUUCCUUGUUCUGUGUGUAAGUUAUUGCGCAACAAAAUUACACAAUUGUAAAAACAAAAAAAACAAAUGCAUCACAUCCCUUUAAGGAAGUUUUGAUAUUACUUGGGGAAUAUAUUUUAUUUAUGGUAUUAAAAUCUAACCAGCAAAUACCAAAAUAUCUUUAUACAGUAGCUAGGCAGUAAAUCAGAUUUGCUAAAUAUAAGCUGGCACGAUUUCAUUGACAAUUUGUGAGGCUAGCUCAAUCUGUGAUGCUCUUUCUUCUACCUUCUGUAUGCCUGGUUUCUGUUAUCAUACAGUAGUACAGUAAUGGCAAAACUUUGGACACAUGACUAUUUUUUUACUGUUUUUGUAAGAAGUCUCUAAAUGCUCAAUAAGCCUGCAUUUAUUUAGUCGAAAAUACAGAACAAAACCUUAAUAUUGUGAUAUAUAUAUUUAGAAUUUGACUACUUACAAUUAAAUCAAAGUGAAAUUAAAAUUUAAAAAAUCUGUAUUAGUUUGCAUACGUCAGCUUAUGACCAAACAAAAUGUUUAUUUUUUUAGUUUGUAUAUGAUACAGUUUAUAUACUAGUUUUCCAUAAAUUUCCACAAAUUCUGGCAAGUUUCCAACUUGCAAUAUUUCCAAAACUCCUCAUGUAAAUAUCCCGGAAAGAAAUUUACCUAGAAUUUUCUAAUUAUGGAACGUGAUGUUAAACUUGCACGUUUAGAUGUAUUACGCUAUGGUCGCAUACCACAGAAAGUGAGGCGUCUACAAAUUCUUUUUACAUGUAGCGCCUGUGUACAUUUUUUUGCUUAAGGCAGCUUGUCAAACCAGAAAUAAGAUACUGACAAUUCAGAUUUUCAUAGAUAUGAUGUUUAUUUCCUUAUAAGCUUCUGAAUAACUGGAUGUUCAGCUUCAGGUUUAAAAGAUAAAUAUACAAAAAAGUUAUUUAAAUAUUCAGAACUAACGCAUCUCAUUUGUUCUUAGUCUGUGUCACUGUUCGAGGCUGGGCAAUAGAAUGAUAUACGAGAAAUGAACCUACAGAUAGUAUCCUGAUAUUCUUUUAAAAUAUUAUUUAUUAAUAAUUACAAACUCUGAUUAAAGAAGCUGUGAAGCUUUGUGCUGUUUUAAAUGAUUUAGAAACGAACUAAACUAUGAGUUUGAAGAAUUUCUACAUUUUCCUCAAAAAACGAAUUUUAAAAUGGUAGAAAUUCGUGACUUUUGUUUUAAUUUCGACAUCUCUGUUGUCCUUGUUUCCAAAUGCUAUUCUAGUGUCUUGAGGAUAGAUUUUUUUAAAUAAAUACUGGUAUACAUAUCGUGUAUCAGAAAUACCUUUAUAUAGUUUUCCUCAUACACAUACUUUGAGGUGUAUUAUUAAUAGGCAUAAUAGAUAGGUUUUAAAAAAGUCAUUGCUGUCACCAUUCGGCUUAUCCAGAAUUAAGCAAGAAAUAUUCUAUAUCUGGUCCUUUACAAAUGUAAGGUUAUACAGUACACAAUGGCACAAGAAGGAAUGUGUAGUGCGCGUUGAAAGUUAUCCUAUGUUUGCACACACACACACACACACACACACACACACACCGUAUGUUUAAGUGCUGGCCAUGAGCAGUGUUUUCAAAGGUGCGUACAUAUGUUCUAGUGUUACAUUCUUACAUAAACUCUCGUAAAGUGGCGUCCCUAUUAACUGCACGAGCAUCGCACGAUGCUUUGACAAUUUCAGAGCAAAGGUCAAGGCUGUUUGAAAGGAGCUGAGGGAAACGACGUUAUCACUGAUAAUGCAUAGCGUGGAGGAAAAACAUCUCAAUAAUCAAAAUCCAACAGUGAUUAAAAGUCUAGCUUGUAGCGACUUUGUUGAUAGCUUGUGCAUAUCAAGGCUCUGCGUUUUGGUUGAAGACGAGAUGGUCGGGUUUAAAAAGCGAGGUACGCAGGACGACACUGGGAAGUUGCAAUUAAUUCGUAGAAAAGGAGUGUUACACGCUUAGCACACAGACACCCGAGUCAACAAAUACAUGAGCGUGAGCAUGACACGCUGUUCAUACCUGGAACACAGGAUUAUUAUACAGCAUUUACAGACAAACUGGUUUUGAACCCAACGCGGAAUCAGAACUCGCUGUCGUUUCAUUAAGUAAAAAAAGUUUAGUCUUAUGCUACGACCUUAUUAGUGCAACGAAACAAACCACAAAGCAGUCGAGCGUGUAUGACCUGCGUCCAUUAUAAAAACACCGAAAACAAACUCUGCCCCAAAUGUUUGUUUAAAUGUUGUAGCCGUUUCUAUCGCUGGGCAGUCGAAUGUAUGCUUACGAGCUUCUCUAGAAGUGUGUACCGAUUAGAAUAGACAGCAGCAGCUGUGACGCGCACACAACAAAUGGGGUCACGCCGGAUGCCAAAACGGUCUGCAGUGACUGGAAAGCCAGUUCAAAGGUCACCCUCAAAACACACACACACACACACACACACACACACACACACAGCGGCUUUAAUCAGAGCGAGCGCAAUCGUCUAGUACGAUUUUAUCAAUACAAAAAAAAAAAAAAGUUCCUACUACCGGUUAUAUACGUGUAUCAUGCCUAAGCCCUAAUUAUUACAUGGAAUUAACUCUUUGAGGUACAGUGUUUAUAAUAAAACGGCAAUAAUGCUAUAGAAACAAUCUCCACCUUCCUAAAUAUGCACACUUUUUUUCUCCCAAAUACUUUUCAUUCUAGAUAAUGAAGUCUUGUGUUUUCUAUUCUAAAGCCAUGUUUAAUACGGGCUAAAAAUACACCACUGUUCCCAUCAUUCUUCUCCUGACAGUCCAAAGCAGUUCCCAUCAACAGUGUAAUCCAAGUGUAAGACAAUUCAUAAAUGAUAAAAUAAAAAAAUGAGAGGAAAAAAAAAUACAGUCAAGCUACCAAACACCCCCCCCCCCCUCCCCCUCCAAAUCUAUCAGUAUUAUUGUUAGCUUAAAAGGCAGUAGCAGCAAGCAACAACCCGUGGAUCUCUCUAAAAACACAAUAUUAACAGUUACAAAAGGUAGCUUACCUGCUACAUAUCAAAAUGACAUCCCUUUGAGU